UGGGGAAUAUUGCACAAUGGGCGAAAGCCUGAUGCAGCGACGCUGCGUGUGUGAAGAAGGUCUUCGGAUUGUAAAGCACUUUCGACGGGGACGAUGAUGACGGUACCCGUAGAAGAAGCCCCGGCUAACUUCGUGCCAGCAGCCGCGGUAAUACGAAGGGGGCUAGCGUUGCUCGGAAUGACUGGGCGUAAAGGGCGUGUAGGCGGCUUACACAGUCAGAUGUGAAAUCCCCGGGCUUAACCUGGGAGCUGCAUUUGAUACGUGUAGACUAGAGUGUGAGAGAGGGUUGUGGAAUUCCCAGUGUAGAGGUGAAAUUCGUAG
RNAcentral lists this ribosomal RNA (321 nucleotides) under uncultured bacterium. RNAcentral's name for it is "partial 16S ribosomal RNA". It matches the Rfam family "Bacterial small subunit ribosomal RNA", at positions 355 to 693 of the family's 1533-position model. The record is from RNAcentral.